This 234-nucleotide ribosomal RNA is filed under the name Camponotus nr. fastigatus. RNAcentral describes it as "partial large subunit ribosomal RNA". The record is from RNAcentral. Lineage: Eukaryota; Metazoa; Arthropoda; Insecta; Hymenoptera; Formicidae.
GAAUUUAAUAUAAAUUUUAAUUAAAUAAUUUUAUAAAAUGGUAUGGUUAGAAUUUAUAUUUGGUUGGGAGGAUUAUUAAAUUAAGUGAACUUUAAUAUGAAAAAACAUUGAUUUAUGAGUUUUUUGAUUAAGAUUUUUUUAAUUGAUAAUUAAUUAAAUUUUAUAAAAGAAUUAAUUACCUUAGGGAUAACAGCGUAAUAUUUUUAAAAAGAUCUUAUUGAUAAAAGUGAUUGC